CAGCCGCCACGGGAAUACGUAGGUGGCAAGCGUUGUCCGGAAUUAUUGGGCGUAAAGGGCCCGCAGGCGGUUUCUUAAGUCUGAUGUGAAAGCCCCCGGCUCAACCGGGGAGGGUCAUUGGAAACUGGGAAACUUGAGUGCAGAAGAGGAGAGUGGAAUUCCACGUGUAGCGGUGAAAUGCGUAGAGAUGUGGAGGAACACCAGUGGCGAAGGCGACUCUCUGGUCUGUAACUGACGCUGAGGAGCGAAAGCGUGGGGAGCGAACAGGAUUAGAGACCCCCGUAGUCCCUGUCUCUUAUAC
This 301-nucleotide ribosomal RNA is filed under the name uncultured bacterium. RNAcentral's name for it is "partial 16S ribosomal RNA". It matches the Rfam family "Bacterial small subunit ribosomal RNA", at positions 509 to 807 of the family's 1533-position model. The record is from RNAcentral.